Molecule: unclassified non-coding RNA, 274 nt
Filed under: uncultured fungus
Lineage: Eukaryota; Fungi
Description: partial contains 5.8S rRNA, ITS2 and 28S rRNA
Rfam family: Eukaryotic large subunit ribosomal RNA
Source: RNAcentral
AAGGAGUCUAACAUGCAUGCGAGUAUUUGGGCGGCAAACCCAAGUGCGGAAUGAAAGUGAAAAGGUGGGAGCACCAUCGACCGGGUUUUUUGUGGAAAAGACUCGAGUAGGAGCAUGUAUGGUGGGACCCGAAAGAUGGUGAACUAUGCCUGAAUAGGGUGAAGCCAGAGGAAACUCUGGUGGAGGUCCGUAGCGAUUCUAACGUGCAAAUUGAUCGUCGAACUUGGGUAUAGGGGCGAAAGACUAAUCGAACCAUCUAGUAGCUGGUUCCUCC